AUGAUGAAGAAAUCCUACUUCUCAGGGAAGUUGGGAACAAUGACCAGAUACAUUUUCAGCCAGUAUAGUAGAUUACAAAUGCUAAAUGGUAUAUGUAUGGGACUGGGCAAAUGUUGCAUGUACUUUGUAUUUUUCACACUGUUAUAAAAUUAUAUUAAUAUGAUACUGUACCCUAAGGCUAGGUCUAUGCUAGACCAACAAUUCAUUCCUGGGCCCCUGAAGAUACUUGUUUGGCCCUGCUGUCUAUUUAGCCAAGGUGAGUCCCUCAUUAACAAGUACGAAAUUGCUCACAUCUUCCCAGCCUAAGUGAGUUUUUCAUUAUUAGAAGCUAGAAAAAGAUACUGACAGAUUUUGUUGUCAGUUGGAUUAUUG
RNAcentral lists this long non-coding RNA (372 nucleotides) under Homo sapiens (human). RNAcentral describes it as "non-protein coding lnc-POU4F3-5:2". The record is from RNAcentral. Lineage: Eukaryota; Metazoa; Chordata; Mammalia; Primates; Hominidae.